AGAGUUUGAUCAUGGCUCAGAAUGAACGCUGGCGGCGCGCUUAACACAUGCAAGUCGAACGAGAACGUUCCUUCGGGAACUAGUAAAGUGGCGAACGGGUGAGAAACGCGUGGGUAUUUACCUGUUGGUGAAGAAUACCCCCGGGAAACUGGGGUUAAUUCUGCAUAAGCUCUUCGGAGGAAAGGUGGCCUCUUUGCUACCGCCGACAGAUGAACCUGCGUCCUAUUAGUUAGUUGGUGAGGUAACGGCCCACCAAGACGAAGAUGGGUAGCCGGCCUGAGAGGGUGAUCGGCCACACUGGGACUGAGAUACGGCCCAGACUCCUACGGGAGGCAGCAGUGGGGAAUCUUGCGCAAUGGACGAAAGUCUGACGCAGCGACGCCGCGUGGAGGAUGACGGUCUUCGGAUUGUAAACUCCUGUUAAGUGGGAAGAAAGCCACACAUCGAAUAGGUGUGUGGGAUGACGGUACCAUUAGAGAAAGUCACGGCAAACUUCGUGCCAGCAGCCGCGGUAAUACGAAGGUGACUAGCGUUAUUCGGAGUUACUGGGCGUAAAGAGUGCGUAGGCGGCCUUUUUAAGUCAGCUGUUAAAUACCACAGCCUAACUGUGGAAAUGCGGUUGAAACUGGGGGGCUUGAGGUUGAGAGAGAGGAACGGAAUUCUCGGAGUAGCGGUAAAAUGCGUAGAUCUCGAGAGGAACACCGAUGGCGAAGGCAGUUCCUUAGUUCAAUUCUGACGCUGAAGCACGAAAGCGUGGGGAGCAAACAGGAUUAGAUACCCUAGUAGUCC
RNAcentral lists this ribosomal RNA (789 nucleotides) under uncultured bacterium. Its description in RNAcentral is "bacterial SSU rRNA". It matches the Rfam family "Bacterial small subunit ribosomal RNA", at positions 8 to 796 of the family's 1533-position model. The record is from RNAcentral.